AGAGUUCCGAUUAACGAAACGAAAACAGUUAAAGUAAACAGACACACAAGACCAACGAAACGCGCACGUGUGUGGGAAAGCCGGAAAUUUUGUUUCAUUCAGAAAAUUAACACGGACUGAGAUCUGAUUUUUACUAAUUAAAUUAAAUAUUAAAGAAUCUAUAGGAAACAAAUUAUUUCAUCUGUUGUAAACAUGUUGUCCGAAAUGAAUACGAGUGAAAUCUUCAAACUCUCCGAGGACUUCAUAGAGAGCAGGAAAAACUCAAAUAAUUUGUCAACAAUCGUCGAUCUUUUGAGCACGCAAGAGGGAAAAUUACUGAACUGCUGCAUUCUUAGUCUUCAGACCAUGUUCACCCACUCUUUGCUUGAGACAAAAUCCAUCGUGACGACUGAAGCAGGUGGAAAGUACAGAGAGUGGAUUUUAAAAAAUUAUGAAGAAGCAAUGCCCAUCCUUCUGACAAUAAUCAAGUCUAUCAAGCACCCCUAUUCUGUCCGAGAGCAAGCUAUGGUCACUUACGUGAAUCUGCUGAAAAUAGAAACCCUUCAUGUGAACAAGCCACAAAAUGAUGCAUUUUGUCUUCCAAAAUUGAAAUAUUAUAAUUUGUUGAAAGUGUUAGUAGCAAGCAAAAAGACAAAAGCAGUGAAAAACAAAGUCCAAACAAAACUUAUCAGCCGAUUCUCUGAAUUUACGGCAAUGCCUGAUGUGGCCCUGCAGACUUGGGUCUCGUGUGUUACAUUAACCAAAUGUGACAAAAAGCUUCCAGACGAAGGCAAAAUGAGGAAUAUUCUACACCUGCUGGAUAAAACGAUGAUUCCAAAAGGAAUGUCUAAGGAAGAAAAUUCUGAAGAGCCGUUUGUGAGCAAAAAAGUUCAUGACUUGCCCAGAAAGGCUGUUGGUAAAAAGUUGACUCGUGCUGUUGACGGGGUGUGGGAGAACAUGAAAAAGUGGCACCACAAUGAAGGCACCAUGCAUGAGACCUUACUGUUGUUAAUUGAGAAAAUGAUGGACUCCAUGUCAAAACCAAAAUUGCUUACAGACUUUUUCAUGGCAUCUCUCGAUUAUGGCGGUGCUCUCAGUCUGUUGUCUCUCCAAGGAGUUUUCAAUUUGAUCCAAAAGCACAACAUCGAGUACCCUGACAUUUACUCAAAGCUCUACUCCCUUUUCACACCCGAAAUGCUGCGAACUAGAUACAAACAGCGUCUCUUCUACUUGUCUGAUCUGUUUCUAACUUCAACGCACAUUCCCGAAGCAUUGGUGGCUGCGUUUGCAAAACGACUUGGUCGCCUUUCCUUGACAGCUUCCGCAACUGACAUCCUCAUAAUGAUCCCUUUUAUAGGAAACCUGCUAAUCAGGCAUAAAGGAAUUCAGAAAAUGAUUCACAGCAUAGAGGGGGGAUAUGUGGAGGUUGACCCAUUUGUGGAAAGUGAGACGGACCCUUGCAAGAGCAGAGCCAUUGAGUCUUGCUUUUGGGAGCUUAAAAGCCUGCAGAGCCAUUUGGUUCCUCCUGUGGCCAUCGCUGCAAGGUUUAUUGACGAAAAAUUGCCCACUGUCGAAUGGGACUUGGCUGACGUUCUUGAAAUCAAAUACGGCGACGUUUUUGAGAAGGAAAUGAACAAGAAGGCCAAGGAGAUAACCCUCAACUUCAUACCUCCAACAAGUGAAGUUCUUGAAAAGUUGAAAAGAAACUUUUAGACAAUAAUUUUUCAAGAAAUGGAGCAGAGGUUUUUGGAGUCUGAAUUUUUUUACGUGUUUGCAAAGUGACCAGACACUGACCAGUAGGCAGUAGAUGGCGUUGCUGGCAUAUGUUAUCAUGUUGUUAAUAGUUGGCAAGUCCGUGUUGGCAGAGUGGCAGUAUCUGUGGGCAGUAUACACG
RNA transcript from Neocloeon triangulifer, 1873 nucleotides. It is a transcript of the gene named nucleolar complex protein 4 homolog B, with no coding region annotated. Lineage: Eukaryota; Metazoa; Arthropoda; Insecta; Ephemeroptera; Baetidae. The transcript is spliced from 12 exons. The record is from RefSeq and is a predicted model, not a curated record.